UGUUUUCCUUUUCAUGAAUACAAUUUGUAUCUAAUUUUUAUUUUUCUAUUUGAAAACAGUUUUUCUUUAUAUAUAGUUGUUAAGCUGGUGGCAGGUGUCUGGGAGUUUUGGUUACUCAAGUUUUCAGCCACUAGACUUUAGGGAGUGGGAUUUUGUUAGGCUGCUACUGUAUUUCAAGUGAUACGAGCCCUACUGGAAAAUGAUUUACAAACAGAAAAGAUGUAGUUAGGUUGUUGAGAAUUCAUGUUUAAAGUUUUCAAAAGUGAGGGUAAGGAGAAUUUAAAAAAAAGUUAUUAAAGAAAAAAUAGAGACUUUCCUGUAAGUUUUCUGCUGGAUGGUGGUGUGUGACUCAUUCCUUUAAUCCCAGGACUCAGGAGGCAGAGCCAGGACCCUAAUUUUGAGGUCACCUUGGUUUACAGAUUGAGUUCCAAGGCUACACACAGAAACCCUGUCUUGGGGGAAAAAAAAAAAAAGAAAAAGUUUCUCUUUUUAUUAAAAUUCUUUUGUUGUUGUUGGUAUGACUGUGGGCAUGUGUGGAAAUCAGAUGACUAAUUUUUAAGUUUGUUUACUUGUUCCAUUUUGGUUUUUUGUUUAAAUUUGAUUUUACAUGAAUGAAUGAUUUACUUGCAUGUAGGUAUGUGCACUGGCUUUUUGUCAGUGGAGGUCAGAAAAGGGGAUCAGAUUCUUGGGACUGUUAUAAAUGGUUGUGAGCCACUGUGUAAGCUCUGGGAACUGAGCCCCUGUCUUGUGUCAGGAAUAGCAAGUGGUCUUAACUGCUGAGCCAUCAUUUUUCUAGUCCUUUCUGCCUUGUUUUUUGAGGCACGAUCUCUUAUUGUUUCUACCUCCCAUUUCACUACAGGACCUCCAGGAUUAUAGACCCCCCCCCCCACUGCCAUUUAAAGAGUCUUUAAAAUAAAAAAAAUUUAUUUUAGUACAUGUAUUGGUGUUUUGCCUGCAUGUAUGGCCAUGAACAGCAUGUAUGCCUGGUACCCUUGAGGGUCCACAAAGUGGUGUUAGAUGAGUUAUAGAUAGUUGUAAGGUGCCAUGUAGGUGCUGAGAAUUGAACUUGGGUCCUUUGGAAGAGCACCAGUCCUCUAAACUUCUGAGGCAUCUUCAUCUCAUGAAUCUGGCUUUUUAACCAACUGAGCCAUUUUGUCAGUUCACUGCAGAAUUUUUAACAAGAGUCUUAAAAAAAGACCUUCCUUAAGUAUUACCUCAUCUCAAAAUCUAAUCCUUCUCACAAAGCACAUAUAUACUAAACAAAACAUAAAAAGCAGUCAACACACGCAGUACUGUACACCAUGUUAGAGAUCCUCCUACUCAUGGGCUGGAGAGAUGGCUCAGCGGUUCAGAGCGUCGACAUCUGUCAUGAGAUCUGAUGCCCUCUUCUGGAGUGUCUGAAGACAGCUACAGUGUACUCACAUAUAAUAAAU
RNAcentral lists this long non-coding RNA (1433 nucleotides) under Mus musculus (house mouse). RNAcentral describes it as "long non-coding RNA chr14:30721256-30722689". The record is from RNAcentral. Lineage: Eukaryota; Metazoa; Chordata; Mammalia; Rodentia; Muridae.